This is a long non-coding RNA of Piliocolobus tephrosceles (Ugandan red Colobus), 1113 nucleotides long. RefSeq lists it as uncharacterized. The record is from RefSeq and is a predicted model, not a curated record. The transcript is spliced from 3 exons. NCBI's taxonomy places the organism in Eukaryota, Metazoa, Chordata, Mammalia, Primates, Cercopithecidae.
CGCUCUCAUCCUCUCCUUUCUCUCUUCCCCCUCCAGCCUCCACUCCUUCGCCCGCUCACUCACCCUCUCCCUCUCCCGCUGCCCCCCCUUUCUCCCCCACCUCUUUGUUUCAGCUGAGAACCAGCUCCUCGGGACAGUUCCCACACUGCAGUGCCUCUGGUGAGGAGACAGCGCCACUGAGGCCUCCUCUGAACUCUCAAAAUGUGACCUAUGCCAUCACCGAGGCCGCAGGAACAAGAGGUGGGUGUCCAUGACAUUGGUACCUGUCAUUCCUGUGUGCAGCAGGUGUGCCCCACCCUGGAGGCGGCAGAAAAAGGCUUUCACAUCCCUGGCACAUGUGGGCCUGGCUCCACCAACCCAAGGCUGCCUGGGGAAGAAGUGACUCAUACCUGCGCAGGGUAGGCGGCCUGAGCCAGCCCCCCACCCUUGAGCUGGGACAGGGCCUUCCGAAUGGUGUUCAACUCCUGGAUGGUGGCUCCACGGGCUGCCAGCAGUCUGGUGAGUGUCUGCUUCUCCUCCAGUGUGACAGGUGGGAUGGGGGCAGGCAGCAGAGCUGACCCCCCACCUGCAGAGACAAUGAGGGUAUCAGGCAGAGGGACUAUCCCAAAGCAGGGAACCAGGCAAGCAGGGUGACAAGUCCACAUUAGAAAAGGGGGGUUGGAAAGGUGGGAUUAGGGUGCCCCCGUGUGGAUAUGCAAUAUGUAUACAGUCACCACAUCCUGGCCACUGGAGGUUGUCCCCUGCCUUGGGGUACCCCAGGUCCCAGGAGGCACUGGAAGAACUAACUACUUAAGAGACUAGAACAGAAGGCAGGGUAGGGGGCACACAAUGGAAGAUUAAGGAGAAGACUCCUUGAGGUCUGAGAGCCUAGCUCCAGGUGACAUCAGUACAGACAACAGCAACAGCAGUGACAUUUUCCAAGGACUCUAUGGAUGUGCCAGGCCCUGCAUUAGGUGCUCCCCGUGCACCCUCUCACUGACACCCAAAAGGUCAGGUCAGGGGGAGGACUCCACAGCUCAGGGGAGGCCAGACGACUAGUCCAAGGCAACCCAAGAGUCACCAUCCAGGCUCCUCACCAUCUCCCUUGCUCCUAACUUCACGCUGUGACCCUGG